ACUCAUACCUGGCAGGGGAGAUACCAUGAUCAUGAAGGUGGUUCACCCAGGCGGAGCUCAACCAUUGCCAUGGUUGUGCUGACCCGUGCGAAUUCCCCAAAUGUGGGAAUCUAGACUGCAUAAUUUGUAGUGGGGACUAAGUCCGCGCUCUCCCCU
Small nuclear RNA from Hippoglossus stenolepis (Pacific halibut), 156 nucleotides. RefSeq annotates it as U1 spliceosomal RNA. The transcript has a single exon. NCBI's taxonomy places the organism in Eukaryota, Metazoa, Chordata, Actinopteri, Pleuronectiformes, Pleuronectidae. The record is from RefSeq and is a predicted model, not a curated record.